UCAUUUCUUGACAACAAUAUACAAAAUUUAGCAAAACAAGAACACUAAUAACACUAUCAAUCUUCUCAUUUCUUGAUAAGAAUAUACAAAAUUAGCGAAACAAGAACACUAAUAACACUAUCAAUCUUCUCAUUUCUUGAUAAGAAUAUACAAAAUUUAGCAAAACAAGAACACUAAUAAUACUAUCAACCAUCUCAUUUCUUGAUAACAAUAUAUAAAAUUUAGCAAAACAAGAACACUAAAAACACUAUCAAUCUUCUCAUUUCUUGAUAACAAUAUACAAAAUUUAGCAAAACAAGAACACUAAUAACACUAUCGACCUUCUCAUUUCUUGAUAACAAUAUACAAAAUUUAGUAAAACAAGAACACUAAAAACACUACCAAUCUUCUCAUUUCUUGAUAACAAUAUACAAAAUUUAGCAAAACAAGAACACUAAUAACACUAUCAAUCUUCUCAUUUCUUGAUAACAAUAUACAAAAUUUAGCAAAACAAGAACACUAAUAACACUAUCCAUCUUCUCCUUUCUUGGCAACAAUAUACAAAAUUAGCAAAACAAGAACACUAAUAACACAAUCGAU
Molecule: long non-coding RNA, 579 nt
Filed under: Lathyrus oleraceus (garden pea)
Lineage: Eukaryota; Viridiplantae; Streptophyta; Magnoliopsida; Fabales; Fabaceae
Description: Pisum sativum (pea) long non-coding RNA (PSAT_LNC041672)
Source: RNAcentral